This 739-nucleotide ribosomal RNA is filed under the name uncultured bacterium. Its description in RNAcentral is "bacterial SSU rRNA". It matches the Rfam family "Bacterial small subunit ribosomal RNA", at positions 65 to 794 of the family's 1533-position model. The record is from RNAcentral.
AGGGGCAUCAGGAAGAAAGCUUGCUUUCUUUGCUGGCGACCGGCGCACGGGUGAGUAACACGUAUCCAACCUGCCCUUUACUCGGGGAUAGCCUUUCGAAAGAAAGAUUAAUACCCGAUGGCAUAAUGAUUCCGCAUGGUUUCAUUAUUAAAGGAUUCCGGUAAAGGAUGGGGAUGCGUUCCAUUAGGUUGUUGGUGAGGUAACGGCUCACCAAGCCUUCGAUGGAUAGGGGUUCUGAGAGGAAGGUCCCCCACAUUGGAACUGAGACACGGUCCAAACUCCUACGGGAGGCAGCAGUGAGGAAUAUUGGUCAAUGGGCGCUAGCCUGAACCAGCCAAGUAGCGUGAAGGAUGAAGGCUCUAUGGGUCGUAAACUUCUUUUAUAUAAGAAUAAAGUGCAGUAUGUAUACUGUUUUGUAUGUAUUAUAUGAAUAAGGAUCGGCUAACUCCGUGCCAGCAGCCGCGGUAAUACGGAGGAUCCGAGCGUUAUCCGGAUUUAUUGGGUUUAAAGGGAGCGUAGGUGGACUGGUAAGUCAGUUGUGAAAGUUUGCGGCUCAACCGUAAAAUUGCAGUUGAUACUGUCAGUCUUGAGUACAGUAGAGGUGGGCGGAAUUCGUGGUGUAGCGGUGAAAUGCUUAGAUAUCACGAAGAACUCCGAUUGCGAAGGCAGCUCACUGGACUGCAACUGACACUGAUGCUCGAAAGUGUGGGUAUCAAACAGGAUUAGAUACCCUGGUAGU